GGACGUAUGGUCUAGUGGUCAAGACGUCUCGGCUGCAAAGAAUGUUCGUUGCCUUGAAACUGUUACAAUCAUAUAACAGGUGAAAGGGUUCGAAUGAUACAAUGCUCCCUGAGAAGGUCCCGGGUUCGAAUCCCGGUACGUCCA
Molecule: non-coding RNA, 144 nt
Organism: Cercophora samala
Lineage: Eukaryota; Fungi; Ascomycota; Sordariomycetes; Sordariales; Lasiosphaeriaceae
Source: the annotation of a GenBank genome assembly